GCGGGCGAGGGCAGGAGGAAGGGGGCAUCCGAGCCGGCACCGCAGCCUCGCAAGCCGCCGCCCGCAGCCGUCCGCGCAUGUGCCUGCAGGAUUUACAGUCACCCUCCGGGUAUUGACUUUUUCCCCAGCAGCCAGCAACACCGGGAAAGAAGUUGCUUGGCUAGAGACUUCCCUUUGGCAGCUCGGACUCACACUCUUAAAGCCCCAAAUGACUGAACAAGUGCCUACAUUAGAGUGGUGCUGGCACAUCCUGUGGAAAACUAACAUCUUUCUCUUACCGUUUUCCAUUUACAAUGACAUGUUAGCAGAGCAGUGAGAUGGUGAGAAACCUGCUUUAUCAGAUUGUGGAAAAGCUGAAAAGAGAGGCAUGAAGAAAUUCUUCCUCUGUACCUGCCAGGAAGGUGCAUCAUAGCUAAUGCCCAGAUACUGUAAGUCUGUCUUACAAAUAAAAGCAAAAGAAUGUUUUGUUGCAUCAAAACACCGGUGUAGAUAUAAGCUGCCACAUCCAAUCACUGUCAUAUUUUACAGUUGAUUGCCAGAACUGGCAUGAAAAAAGGUAGCUCGCCCGCUAUCCAAAAUGACUAUUAAUAUCCUAAGGAAAUGCUGUAUUGUAUAUAUUGUCCCUACAAUGUAAUCUUGUCACGCAAGUGUGACCACUGUGUGAAUAACUGUACACAAAACUGCUUGAAAGAGCCUGCAGGCAGCAUGUUCUUUUUUCCAACUGCAGUUAUAAGUUUUGGAUCUGGCCCUAAUUGAAAAGGUUGCUAUGGUAAGUUAUAUGUCUUAAUGAAAGAGCAUAGCAUCAAGACAUGAGAUGUGUUAUUUGGAAGAGAACCAGUACUGUAUUAUUCCUCAGGAUGGAAAGAAAAUUAAUGUUUUCUCUGAUCAGAAAGCCAUCAUUUCCAAAGUUACAAAAGAGCAGAUACAUUGAGAGUGCUUAUGCUUGACAAACAAAAAUCCAAUAUAUAUCUGUGUGAGCAUUUCAGAAAAAAAUCUAUAAAAACAUGAUAGUUCUCUCAGAGUUCAUCUGUUUCAUUUCUAUCAUCAGGGAAACAACACUGCAGAGCCAAACACCACACAAAGGAUAAGAAAGGACUGAACCAUCAUGGUAGAAGCUGGCUAUAUCCAUGCAGAGGUUUUGCAAUCGAUCCCUCUCCCAUAUCAGCAUUUCUUAAGGGUCCCAGUAGUAAGAACCCAACUCUGCCCUCCCUUUCAUUUAAUACUAUCAUAAGGUUAUGGAGCUUUUAUGUUAGCCAUAUGGGAAUAGAGGCUGCCUGUGCAGUGAUGUCAGGUGGGGUAGUUCUCUAGUGGUGUGUUGUUCUCUUACUGUGAUAGAUACCUGAGAAGUUAUUUCCUGUUGGAUCCUGACAGAAUGCAACUUCUCUCUUUCUUUUUCUCUCUCCCUUCUACACAUACAAACAUGUAAAAUUUCUCUAAUGCAUCCUUUUCAGUUAAAGAGUUAAUUGUUUCUGAAAACAAAUGGAAAAAAGAACACAUCAAAAUAUGAAAAAAAAAAAAAAAUGGUGCCAAGAAGCAUAAAACCAGGAAAAUAAAUAAAUAAACAAAUAAAUAAAAGUGAAGCCACAUGUAGUAUAAUCCCCUCUAACAAUAUUCUGGGUUCAAAUAACCCAGAGGAGAUUACACUGUUAGAUUUCCCCCUUUGUUAUAAGUGGUCCUUUGUCAGCCUGCAUAGUUAAACAUGGAUGACUUUUUGUGGGAUGUAGGGCCUUUGUUUGCUUUUAGGGGAAGCAACCAAAAGCACACCACAUGAACUUCCUUUCAGUCUAAUGUUCAGUCUGAAAAUAGACAACCAUGUGAAUCCAGAAGGUUUGCAAACCCACUGUGGGUUUGCAAAAGCAAGCAUCUGCCACCUUAGCCCCUGAAAACACAUAUAUCCAU
This 1899-nucleotide long non-coding RNA is filed under the name Cairina moschata (Muscovy duck). Its description in RNAcentral is "domestica (muscovy Duck (domestic type)) lncRNA (ENSCMMG00000012074.1)". The record is from RNAcentral. Lineage: Eukaryota; Metazoa; Chordata; Aves; Anseriformes; Anatidae.